AAGCACUUAACAUGCAAAGACCAAGCUAAUUAGGGAUUUCAUGUAUGACAACCUAUAAUGUUAUACCAGAUCUUUUGUGGGUGUGCAUUGCGGUGUGCAUUCGAGGUGGACAUUGUAUUGAGGUGCAUUCAACCUGGACAUAGUGCACCUAAGGAUCCUUAAAAUAAAUACAAAGGUGAAAUCCCUUUUUCCUUUCUAAGAGUGUUAGACUCUUGAUUUUAAGACCAAGAAAAGGCAUCAAUUUCAUUUGCAUGUUCCUUCUUUGUUCAAUGAGUUUUUAAAUAUUAAUUCCAUUAUCUUGGUUCUCAGCCAUAUUUAAUGGACUUUUCUGUGAGUUGUUCUAUUUUAAGUACCUAUUGCCAGUUCUCUUUUUUAAUGUAUCAUUUUUGAUUUUCCCCUUUUUGCUUCCUUUUACUAUGAAAUCAGAAUCUCUUCAGAUCUUAUAAUGUGCUGCUACAUUCUUACAUUUGUUACAAAUUGAGAAAGCAAUAUUAGAAUUAAAUAUGGUCUAAUCAACUCCAUAUAUUACUUCUCUCACCCAAGACUUUAGAGCUCUGUUCAGGUGGUCUUUACCUGCUCCUUUUUUUCCUCCAACAAUAUGUGCUAUUUCAAAAUCUUUUUAUUUAGUGGGAAGAGGCAGCUGUGAGACAAAAAACUAUCAAUCCAGCUGAUUCCUGAUUGCGCUUAAUUCAUAACUUGUUUCUGUAACUUGCUCAGUAGUGGAAAUGUCACAAAGAGUCAUGUUUGUUGUUCAUGUCAGCUAAAUCCAGUCUGCUCUCCACAUUCUUCAAGCUCCUCCAUGAAACACGUUCAUUCAGAAGAGUCUUUGCUGAAUGCUGUCAUUACUGUUCAACAACUCAAAUACUGAGGUUUGAGUUCCUGGCUUUUAUAUCUCUUUUUCUUCAUUUGCUGAGUCCAUAAGAAUCAAAGAUGAGAAAGGGGUGGCUCAUGGUAUAAAUACCGAAUUUAUAAGUAUUGUUUCUCUGUGUCCAUAGAAAUUGCCAUCUCCAUCCAUUCUGCUAUUUCAGGACUGGCUUCCUUUGAGCUACGUUCCUCCCACACCUGACGUUCCUGCUGGCUUGGGAUCCAAGUCUGCACUUCAGACUAUGUUUGUCAAGAAAAUUCCUUCACAGACAAGUGGCAAGAAAAACACGCUAUAUGCAGGAUCAAGAUGCUCACAAUUGUGUCUACCUUUCAAGGAGUCUGACUCCACAUUCCCUACCCACUGAUGUUCCACAUGUUUUGUGCUGUGUUGUUGCCAGUGCUCUGUGGGUGUUUGGACUCUGGUAAUCCUCUGGAUUAAAUAAAUGCCUCAUCAUUCACCUAUUAUAUCUGACAUGUUCUUGAAUGCUGCAUUGCAUCAGGUCCAGUAUUUAGAUCUGCCUGCUUUCAGACUCAGAGAGAGUCAUUUUGACUAACUGUAGGAAUCUUUCAGGUAGCAUGAAACAUUUAUGCUAUUCAUACUCUUGUUCUGCUGUGCUGCACAUUCCUUUGUGCUUUUCUUAGUAAGUGCUAAACACAAGUUAUUGAUUAAGAACUUCUGCUUCUCCAUCUUUACUUAUUUCUCCCCUGACAACAUGGUCUCAAGAUGUAGGAAAUAUUGGUCUGAACUCCUGUUGUCUUAAAGGUUUCUACAAUAACCAGAAUUUCUGGCUCUGAGCCACUUUAUGAACCCACAAGGCUCAUAUAUAUAUGCAUAUAUAUAUAUAUAUAAAGACCAGCAUUCAUUGAAAUAGCCUAUUUAACUCAUGCUUACUGUCCUUAAAGAGAUUAAUCUUUUGCUAAAAGUGUAGCUACAUGAUUAUAUUUCUUUAAAACAUUACGUUUUUUUUAACCUCCCUGGUAUUCCUCCAGUUCAAAGUGAACUUCACAUUGGCUGAUCUUUUCAUUAGCUUUUGUCAUACAUGAAAAAAUACAAGCAAAUGCUUGUUCACUUCAUGGUCCUUGAAUAAACAGAGUAUCUGUUGCUUCAUCAAAAACACCAGAGUAGCAGCAUCCUUCUGAAGUGACAAGCCUUGAUUUUUGUGCUAACCAAUCACUAUAAGAAAAGGCAGGAAUGAGCUCUUUAAAAUUCCUGGGAGUUUCAAAAACAAGCUGUUGCUUCAAACAGGGCAAGUUGAUUGACUUCCACGACUUUGAAUUACUAUAUCUGAUACUCCCUGAUACUGAGCAGGAGUACAAGUGCUGAUCAGACUGCAGUGUCAAAUCUGUUCCAGGGUCUACACAGACCCUCAGCUGCUACAGUUCAUUACACUGACUAAUUAUACCCCUUCCAAUAAUUUCUUCUUGGUUCAGUAGGUGGAGCUGUAAGACGUUCAGAUUUUCCCUUGGCCAAGGUGUGCCGUGGCUGGUGCACUGACAAGCACAGCUUUCGCUUCCCAGCACUGCGCAUAUUUAUCCCUUUUAUACAAGUUGGCAUUUUGCAUCAUAUUGAAAUGGCACAUAAAAAGGAAAUUCAAGUUCUGCACUCAUUCUGCUAGUUGAGAAAAGCAAUCAGUCUCUGUUUCUAAUAUGCAGUCAUCGGUUCUUUGAUGGCUGUUUUCUACUGUUCAAAAGAACACAAAACAUGUGUAGGCUCAAUUUUAAUAUUUUGGGCUUUGGGGAAAAAUAAUCUCUAACAUAGUACAUUUUGCUUAUUUUGCUAGUUACUGGUUUGAAACAGACUCUUUGGAACAAUUGAGAACUCAUGAAAUCAUCUCAUUAAUUUUUUUCAAUUUUAGAAUCAUAUCAAAUCCACUGACAAAAUUUUCAUGUUCUCGAGUAGUUUACUCUUUAUAUUGCCAAUGAAAGCUUUUUAAAUAAAAGGACACUAUUAAAUAAA
Long non-coding RNA from Corvus hawaiiensis (hawaiian crow), 2821 nucleotides. RefSeq lists it as uncharacterized. The transcript is spliced from 2 exons. The record is from RefSeq and is a predicted model, not a curated record. Lineage: Eukaryota; Metazoa; Chordata; Aves; Passeriformes; Corvidae.